GACAUAGAAUGAUGUGACAACAAUAGAACUAGGCAUUAUUUAUGGACAAGCUCCAAAAGUACGAAAGAAUGAUGUAAGAGCAUAUUCGAGAAAUAAAUUAUAAAACAACCAGACCAACUUUACAAAUAAAUGCAACAAAUCAUCCAUAGCAUACAGAAUUACAGGACUAAUAGACAAGAUGAUAACAAGAUGAAGUAUUAGAAUUCCUCUAAGCAAUGUGCUAAUUUACAAAUGCUUACACGCUUAGGAAUCUGGUUGGUAAAUAUAUAAUGUAAUUCUACUCUUUAUU
This 289-nucleotide long non-coding RNA is filed under the name Physcomitrium patens. Its description in RNAcentral is "long non-coding RNA (PPAT_LNC014005)". Lineage: Eukaryota; Viridiplantae; Streptophyta; Bryopsida; Funariales; Funariaceae. The record is from RNAcentral.